This is an RNA transcript of Dermacentor andersoni, 1919 nucleotides long. RefSeq lists it as uncharacterized. The record is from RefSeq and is a predicted model, not a curated record. NCBI's taxonomy places the organism in Eukaryota, Metazoa, Arthropoda, Arachnida, Ixodida, Ixodidae.
AGAAAAAAAACUCUCAGAGCAGUCCGUUCACGCACUUGCUGAUUGAUAACCGCACUGAAAACCGCUAAGAACACGCCGUAGGGUUUUUACCGAUAGUUGCCCUCGUCUGUUGAGUUAGAUCGCAACUAGUGCAUACUGUAGUUCGCGCGCUUUUUCAGCAGAGUGCUUAAACAAAAAGAAAAGGAAAAGCUACGCAUUUGUCAGUAUUAGCGUGCUUAACUCUCUUAAUUGCUGUUUGAGCAGAAGUAUAAAAACAGAAAAAAUAAUUGUACAGCAACCUUUUACGUCUUUUUGCGCGCGCCUAUGGUUGAAUCUCGACGAUCGUUUCUGCCUGAAAGCAAACGGCGCAUUAUUAUUAUUGUUUUUUUUGUUUGCGCACUCAUGAUUCUAGCCACCCUACUCAUGAAGGGGGAUUAUCCAAGGUUUGCCGUGAAAAUACAAAAUGGCUACGUCCCGCUUAUUUGAUCGACAGUCGCAUUUCAGCGAUGGUUCGUACACGUGCUCACAAUUCACACCAUGUAUGCACUAUGCACUGCAUCCUUAGACCGCACAAAAAGUUAGUUUUCAUCUCAUGACUUUUGCUUUCUUUAAAUUUCGCAGUAAAAUAAAUGUACUGUGCUCUACCAUAGUGCAUAUGAAUGGGUAAAAGUGCCAACUACAAUCACGGAGUACAGUAGCGUAGCCAGGGGCGGGGGACAACGAGCACGUGACCGCUUCCCCCAAGAUUUCUUAGUAUGCCGAGUGCCUAGUCCCCACCGCCCCGCGAAGAAAGAAAUAUCUGGGUAUGCCGCAGAAUUGUCACAGCUGCUCAACAGCCAUCAAAUUCCGGUUCCCGUCCUGACGAUGAUCCAGAAUCGUCGCCAGCAAUAGCUAAACUCAUCAAGAAGGAGAUUAAGCAGGAACGCUCAGAAAUAGGUGAAACCAUUAAGGAGGAGGUGAAGCGAGAACGUCCAGAAAUAGGUGAACACAUUAAGCAAGAGGCCAAGCGAAAACGCCCAGAUAUAAAUGAACCCAUCAAGAAGGAAGUGGAGCGGGAACGCCCAAAAACAGGUGAACCCAUUAAAACAGAUCUCGAGGUGAAGCAGCAACCCCCAGAGAGCCAUGAUACACCUGUAGUUGAAGCUGAUAAUGUUUCAGGCACAGCUUCGCACGACCACCCCAAUUCCUUUGAGUCAACGACUAAGCAGGGUGUGACACCAUGUUUUGCAGCUGACCAAGUGAAAAGUACACCCGCAUUCCACAGUGCACCAGCCAGUUUAACCCUGCAGAAUCAGAGCCCAGUGAGCACACCAGGAUGGUCCGUGAUCACGCCAGAUCCACUGCUGGUGGAAUUGCAGAGCUCUGCCCAGAGAAAGCGCAGGCCACGACACAAGAAGAAGAAGCCAGCUGAAUACUGCAUGCAAGUCGCCGAGUCAACGAGCUCGCCACAACUGCCUCUGGGCUGCAUGCCCUCGUAUCUUGCUCAAGCAGACUUGUCAACUGGAAAGCGGCGUUGUUUUGAUGGUGACGCACCAGGCGAAGCCAAAGAAGUAGCUCUGCAGGAGAAUGCUGUACCCACACCUGCUAAACCACCACCUUGCAUUGUUCAUUUGGCAGUGUCAACCAAGAACACAGAGAAAGGAUGUCAGCCCCCAGUCGAGAAUGGCCAGGAUUCACAGGUACCUGUUGCAGCCAGCUGCCAUAGCGCGAUCCAUCCCCCUCCAGAAGCUGUCACAUCGAAAGCCAAGAUUCAAAAGGUAGUGAAAAAAAUAAGUGCUAUGGUUAAAUCCCGAUUUACCGAAGAUGAUUGGGCCCAAGAUUUUUUUAGUUAAAUCAGGAACUUUGUUGAAAACACGUGAGACACGUGAAAUUAAAAACACCAGCUGAAAUACCCAUGCAAACGAUAUACUUGUUCAAAAAAUAAAAUUGUCAUCUUUGCU